Molecule: microRNA, 23 nt
Filed under: Echinops telfairi (small Madagascar hedgehog)
Lineage: Eukaryota; Metazoa; Chordata; Mammalia; Afrosoricida; Tenrecidae
Also listed under: 1 other name
Description: Ete-Mir-448_5p* (star (passenger))
Source: RNAcentral
UGAACAUCCUGCAUAGUGCUGCC